RNAcentral lists this ribosomal RNA (269 nucleotides) under Brevibacillus sp. MH3.1. Its description in RNAcentral is "partial 16S ribosomal RNA". It matches the Rfam family "Bacterial small subunit ribosomal RNA", at positions 90 to 352 of the family's 1533-position model. Lineage: Bacteria; Bacillati; Bacillota; Bacilli; Caryophanales; Paenibacillaceae. The record is from RNAcentral.
GGGCUGCGGCGGACGGGUGAGUACACGUAGGCAACCUGCCUCUCAGACUGGGAUAACAUAGGGAAACUUAUGCUAAUACCGGAUAGGUUUUUGGAUCGCAUGAUCUGAAAAGAAAAGAUGGCUUUUCGCUAUCACUGGGAGAUGGGCCUGCGGCGCAUUAGCUAGUUGGUGGGGUAACGGCCUACCAAGGCGACGAUGCGUAGCCGACCUGAGAGGGUGACCGGCCACACUGGGACUGAGACACGGCCCAGACUCCUACGGGAGGCAGC